CGGAGGGUGCAAGCAUUGAUCGGAAUUACUGGGCGUAAAGGGCGCGUAGGCGGCUUUUCAAGUUAGAUGUGAAAUUCCGGGGGCUCAACCCCGGAGCUGCAUUUGAAACUAAAGAGCUAGUGGCUAGUAGGGAAAACAGAAUUCCACGUGUAGCGGUGAAAUGCGUAGAUAUGUGGAAGAAUACCGGUGGUGAAGACGGUUUUCUGUGCUAAGCCAGACGCUGAGGCGCGAAAGCUAGGGGAGCAAACAGGAUUAGAUACCCUGGUAGUCCUAGCCGUAAACGAUGUAUACUGGAUGUAGGAAGGCUCAACCCUUUCUGUAUCGGAGCUAACGCGUUAAGUAUACCGCCUGGGGAGUACGCUCGCAAGGGUG
This 372-nucleotide ribosomal RNA is filed under the name uncultured organism. RNAcentral describes it as "bacterial SSU rRNA". It matches the Rfam family "Bacterial small subunit ribosomal RNA", at positions 526 to 896 of the family's 1533-position model. The record is from RNAcentral.